GAUGAACGCUAGCUACAGGCUUAACACAUGCAAGUCGAGGGGCAGCGGGAUUGAAGCUUGCUUCAAUUGCCGGCGACCGGCGCACGGGUGAGUAACGCGUAUCCAACCUUCCGUACACUCAGGGAUAGCCUUUCGAAAGAAAGAUUAAUACCUGAUGGUAUGAUGAGAUUGCAUGAUAUCAUCAUUAAAGAUUUAUCGGUGUACGAUGGGGAUGCGUUCCAUUAGGUAGUAGGCGGGGUAACGGCCCACCUAGCCAACGAUGGAUAGGGGUUCUGAGAGGAAGGUCCACCACAUGGGAACUGAGACACGGUCCAAACUCCUACGGGAGGCAGCAGUGAGGAAUAUUGGUCAAUGGACGAGAGUCUGAACCAGCCAAGUAGCGUGAAGGAUGAAGGUCCUACGGAUUGUAAACUUCUUUUAUAAGGGAAUAAACCCUCCCACGUGUGGGAGCUUGUAUGUACCUUAUGAAUAAGCAUCGGCUAACUCCGUG
This 490-nucleotide ribosomal RNA is filed under the name uncultured bacterium. RNAcentral describes it as "partial 16S ribosomal RNA". It matches the Rfam family "Bacterial small subunit ribosomal RNA", at positions 28 to 507 of the family's 1533-position model. The record is from RNAcentral.